GAUGAACGCUGGCGGCGUGCCUAAUACAUGCAAGUCGAACGCUUCACUUCGGUGAAGAGUGGCGAACGGGUGAGUAAUACAUAAGUAACCUGGCAUCUACAGGGGGAUAACUGAUGGAAACGUCAGCUAAGACCGCAUAGGUGUAGAGAUCGCAUGAACUCUAUAUGAAAAGUGCUACGGGACUGGUAGAUGAUGGACUUAUGGCGCAUUAGCUUGUUGGUAGGGUAACGGCCUACCAAGGCGACGAUGCGUAGCCGACCUGAGAGGGUGACCGGCCACACUGGGACUGAGACACGGCCCAGACUCCUACGGGAGGCAGCAGUAGGGAAUUUUCGGCAAUGGGGGAAACCCUGACCGAGCAACGCCGCGUGAAGGAAGAAGUAAUUCGUUAUGUAAACUUCUGUCAUAGAGGAAGAACGGUGGAUAUAGGGAAUGAUAUCCAAGUGAC
This 448-nucleotide ribosomal RNA is filed under the name uncultured bacterium. Its description in RNAcentral is "bacterial SSU rRNA". It matches the Rfam family "Bacterial small subunit ribosomal RNA", at positions 28 to 473 of the family's 1533-position model. The record is from RNAcentral.